GAACAUGGCUGAGGCUGUAGUUUGCUUUGUGUCGGAUGGGCUCGAAGAAUUCGUCAAUCGGAAUGGGGAAUACUUGUCUGAAAUUAGAGAUCAAGUUCAGCUUGCACUAACCGAGUUACAAUUGAUGCGGAACUUUGCGAAAUUUGUGGAUAGAAGACAACGAGAUGAUGUGGUAGCCGGAAUUAGAGACGCGGCUUACGACUUGGAAGUUAUCGUUGAAACUUAUGCGUUGAAAGUGGCUUUGAGAAGGAAAGGAGUUAUUCAGAGUGCGAUGAAAAGGUAUGCUUGCAUGUUUAUUGACCGAAGUCGCGUGCGCAAGAUUGAGUCGAAAAUUUGUUACAUUACCAACGCAAUUUCUAGGUCGAGGUGGUGGUUGAGUGUUCGAACUAAUAGAAUUGAAGUAACUAAUAGAAUUGAAGUGCCGAUUCCAAAUUAUUUACCUCCACCUGAUACUGAACAUCAUCCUCAUCCUAUUGUUGGGUUAGAAGCCAAAGUAGAAGAAUUGGUUAUGCAUUUGGUAGAAAAUGAAAAUCGAGUUAUUUCUAUAUUGGGCAUGGGGGGUAUAGGAAAGACUACUCUUGCAAAAGAGGUUUAUCAUCAUAACGCAGUCAGGCGUCAUUUUGAUUGUUUGGCGUGGGUGUGUAUAUCUGAACAAUUUGAAGCAAGACGUGUUUUGGAAGAAAUUUUGGUUCAAUUUAUUUCUCCUACUACCGAUGAGCAAAGAGAAGAAAUUGCAAGCAUGUGGGAUGAUGAAAUAGCCAGAAAACUUUUUCUUCUCCAAAGAGAGAAGAGAUGUUUGGUGGUUAUAGAUGACAUUAGGAAGAUUAAUGGCUGGCUGAAAUUAAAAGUUGCAUUUCCUCCAUACGAGGCAACAGGGAGCAAAAUAUUACUUACCACAAGGAACCAUGCAGUAGCUUCAUGUUCAGAUAGGAACCGACUCAUCUGGUACUGCGAGCCACUAAAUGAGAAUGAAAGUUGGGAAUUGUUUGAGAAUAUAGCAUUUUUUGGAAGGAAUGAUAGAGGCUCUGACAUUUUUGGAAAGAUGAAAGAACUAGGAAAAAAGAUGAUUAAACAUUGUGAAGGUCUUCCAUUAGCCAUCGUUGCGCUUGCUGGACUUCUAGCAAGAAAGAAGACACUUAAUGAGUGGAAUACAGUAUUUAAAAAUAUUGAAAACAUUUGUAGAAACGACAAUAUUGAAAAAUAUGCACAUGUACAUUGGAUGUUGGCAAUGAGUUAUGAUGACUUACCGUAUUACUUAAAACCAUGCUUUCUAUAUUUAGGCCAAUUUCCUGAAGAUCUUGAGAUUCCAGCCAAAGAAUUGACUCAAUUGUGGAUAGCAGAAGGUUUUAUAUCUUUGGCGCAACAAAAACAAAGGUUGCUGGCAACGGUGGAGGAUGUAGCAUACAAUUGUCUAAGCGAGUUGGUGGAAAGGCGUAUAGUUCAAGUUGGAAAGAGGGGUUCAGUUAGAAAGAUUAAAACUUGCCGUAUGCAUGAUCGCAUGCGAGACUUGUGCUUGUUGAAGGCAGAAGAGGAGAACUUUCUACAAAUUGUUAACUUUUCGAAUAUUGCACACAAACCAACUGGUAAAGUUCGAAGACUUGCCCUUUAUUUCGAUGAGAAUGAUGUGGUUUCAUCAAGAUCUGAAUCACAUGACCAUGUUAGGUCUCUAUUGUUCUUUGGCCCGAAAAAUUGGAUACCAAAAAGUACAACAUAUAUACUAUCCACAUUCAAGGAUUUGAAAUUUCUUAGAGUUUUGAAGGUUGAAUAUAUGGUCAGGGAAGUAAGGUUGCCAACUGAAAUUGGGAAUAUGCUUUGCUUAAGGUUCUUAAGUCUAAGGAAGAGUAAUAUAAUAUGGUUGCCCCCAUCUUUAGGUAAUUUGAUAUGUUUGCAAACUCUGAAUUUGGACUUCUGUCACUCGAAUGAUCGGACUCCAAUAAUUCCGAAUGUGAUAUGGAAAAUGGAACAGUUGAGACAUCUAUACUUACUGUAUUACAGGUCAAGUAGCAUACUCCGACUGUCUAACCUUUUCAAUUUGCAAACCUUAUCUUGUGUUUCAAGUGACUUUUGUGAUAUGAGUGAUCUUACGAAAUUAACCACUCUCAGAAAACUGGGUAUACAAUUGUCAAGACCCAUGCAAAAUCUGGAGGAAUUAUUGAGAUCUGCAAGCAGCACGCUAAACCGAAUUCAGUCUCUAUUUGUGAAGAAUGAUGUUGGAGUUAAUAGUCACGCGGAGGUUAUGCAAAUAGUAUUAAGUUGUUGUCGUAUAUACAAGUUGAAGCUGUAUGGGCCUAUCAAAGAGCUGCCAACAGACCCCCAGCACUAUCCAAACCUCACCAAGUUAUCGUUGUGUGAGUGUCAUCUCAAGGAUGACCAAAUGGAAAUACUAGAGAAGCUGCCAAACUUAAGAAUUCUUUUACUUCAGUCUCUGAGUUUCCAGGAAAGCACCAAGACACUGGUAUGCUCCAGAGGAGGCUUUCUUCGUCUUGAAACUCUUUCCCUGGAAAAAUUGACAACACUAGAGGAAUGGAGGAUUGAGGAAGGAGCCAUGCCUAGUCUCCUUCAGUUGGGUAUUCUUUUUUGCAAUAGAUUGAAGACAGUUCCACAUGGGCUGGUAUAUAUCACAAGCCUCAAGGACUUAACCAUCCGCUGGAUGCCUACAACAUUCUACAGUAGGCUUCAGGAAGGAGGCGAGGAUUUCUAUAUAGUGCAGCAUGUACCUUCCCUUGUACUUGGGGAUCCGUGGGAAUCUGAGGAAGCGCCUGGGGAUGUGCAUGAGGAAUAGGUCCAGAAGAUGGAACAUGUGAAGCUAUGGCUGCUUUGAGGCGUUGUGCGAGUGACGAAACUGCGAAGUAUAUAACGUUUUGUCUCUUGCUCUGCAAUCUGCUUGUAGUCUUUAAAUCUCUGAAUGUUCUAUGAUAUGCAAGGGAAAUGACAUCACCAGCUGCAGUGGUACCCAAAAUGGACAAAGGGUUAAACGAAGAUGCAACUAUAUUUCUAUUUCCCUAAUGUUAUCUGUGCAAUUUGUGCUUGUUGACUCAAAUAGCAACUACAUCAGUUCACACUUUUUUGCUUGCUUGUCUGAAAGCUGGGGAAAAUGGAUUGCAAUGGCCCUCUGCUAUGUGUAUCUGGACAACUGAGAACGAUUAGCUCAAGUGGGAAGUGAACUAUGACUAUCAGUAUCAGAUAAUAACUUGAACGUCCACGUCUUGAUAGCUCAUGGACUUUUAACUUUAUUAUCACACUUAGGCAAUUGGUAGUAUCAUAUUUAGUCUAAAUAUCUUAAAUCUGAAAUUCCUUGAUAAACUUAAAUUGGUAAUCAG
This is an RNA transcript of Prunus avium (sweet cherry), 3320 nucleotides long. It is a transcript of the gene named putative disease resistance protein At1g58390, with no coding region annotated. NCBI's taxonomy places the organism in Eukaryota, Viridiplantae, Streptophyta, Magnoliopsida, Rosales, Rosaceae. The record is from RefSeq and is a predicted model, not a curated record.